RNAcentral lists this ribosomal RNA (496 nucleotides) under uncultured bacterium. Its description in RNAcentral is "partial 16S ribosomal RNA". It matches the Rfam family "Bacterial small subunit ribosomal RNA", at positions 28 to 506 of the family's 1533-position model. The record is from RNAcentral.
GAUGAACGCUGGCGGCGUGCCUAAUACAUGCAAGUCGAGCGAACGGACGAGAAGCUUGCUUUUCUGAUGUUAGCGGCGGACGGGUGAGUAACACGUGGAUAACCUACCUAUAAGACUGGGAUAACUUCGGGAAACCGGAGCUAAUACCGGAUAAUAUUUUGAACCGCAUGGUUCAAAAGUGAAAGACGGUCUUGCUGUCACUUAUAGAUGGAUCCGCGCUGCAUUAGCUAGUUGGUAAGGUAACGGCUUACCAAGGCAACGAUGCAUAGCCGACCUGAGAGGGGAAUCGGCCACACUGGAACUGGGACACGGUCCAGACUCCUACGGGAGGCAGCAGGAGGGAAUCUGCCGCAAUGGGCGAAAGCCUGACGGAGCAACGCCGCGGGAGUGAUGAAGGUCUUCGGAUCGUAAAACUCUGUUAUUAGGGAAGAACAUAUGUGUAAGUAACUGUGCACAUCUUGACGGUACCUAAGCAGAAAGCCACGGCUAACUACGG